This 254-nucleotide ribosomal RNA is filed under the name uncultured bacterium. RNAcentral describes it as "partial 16S ribosomal RNA". It matches the Rfam family "Bacterial small subunit ribosomal RNA", at positions 524 to 776 of the family's 1533-position model. The record is from RNAcentral.
UACGGGGGGUGCGAGCGUUGUCCGGAAUCACUGGGCGUAAAGGGCGCGUAGGCGGUCAGCACAAGUCAGUUGUGAAAUCUCCGGGCUUAACUCGGAAAGGUCAACUGAUACUGUGCGACUAGAGUGCAGAAGGGGCAACUGGAAUUCUCGGUGUAGCGGUGAAAUGCGUAGAUAUCGAGAGGAACACCUGCGGCGAAGGCGGGUUGCUGGGCUGACACUGACGCUGAGGCGCGAAAGCCAGGGGAGCGAACGGG